This 82-nucleotide ribosomal RNA is filed under the name uncultured bacterium. RNAcentral describes it as "partial 16S ribosomal RNA". The record is from RNAcentral.
UGAAGGCCUUCGGGUUGUAAAGCACUUUCGCACGUGACGAUGAUGACGGUAACGUGAGAAGAAGCCCCGGCUAACUUCGUGC